RNAcentral lists this ribosomal RNA (525 nucleotides) under Fusarium oxysporum. RNAcentral's name for it is "eukaryotic LSU rRNA". The stretch from base 178 to 331 matches the Rfam family "5.8S ribosomal RNA". The record is from RNAcentral. Lineage: Eukaryota; Fungi; Ascomycota; Sordariomycetes; Hypocreales; Nectriaceae.
GGCCUGCGGAGGGAUCAUUACCGAGUUUACAACUCCCAAACCCAUGUGAACAUACCUAUUGUUGCUUCGGCGGGAUUGCCCCGGGCGCCUCGUGUGCCCCGGAUCAGGCGCCCGCCUAGGAAACUUAACUCUUGUUUUAUUUUGGAAUCUUCUGAGUAGUUUUUACAAAUAAAUAAAAACUUUCAACAACGGAUCUCUUGGUUCUGGCAUCGAUGAAGAACGCAGCGAAAUGCGAUAAGUAAUGUGAAUUGCAGAAUUCAGUGAAUCAUCGAAUCUUUGAACGCACAUUGCGCCCGCCAGUAUUCUGGCGGGCAUGCCUGUCUGAGCGUCAUUUCAACCCUCAUGCCCCUAGGGCGUGGUGUUGGGGAUCGGCCAAAGCCCGCGAGGGACGGCCGGCCCCUAAAUCUAGUGGCGGACCCGUCGUGGCCUCCUCUGCGAAGUAGUGAUAUUCCGCAUCGGAGAGCGACGAGCCCCUGCCGUUAAACCCCCAACUUCCAAGGUGACCUCAGAUCAGGUAGAUCCCAC